Molecule: small nuclear RNA, 116 nt
Organism: Syzygium oleosum
Lineage: Eukaryota; Viridiplantae; Streptophyta; Magnoliopsida; Myrtales; Myrtaceae
Product: U5 spliceosomal RNA
Exons: 1
Source: RefSeq, a predicted model, not a curated record
AGCUGCGCAGUAUGCACAGAGUGAACUAUUCUUUCACCUUUUACUAAAGAAUACCAUGCGCACGCCACACUUAGCAGCAUACGCCAUUUUUUGGAAGGCUCGGCCUUUACAGGCUU